Molecule: ribosomal RNA, 1372 nt
Filed under: uncultured bacterium
Lineage: Bacteria
Description: bacterial SSU rRNA
Rfam family: Bacterial small subunit ribosomal RNA
Source: RNAcentral
GAUGAACGCUGGCGGCGUGCCUAAUACAUGCAAGUCGAGCGAACGGACGAGAAGCUUGCUUCUCUGAUGUUAGCGGCGGACGGGUGAGUAACACGCGGAUAACCUACCUAUAAGACUGGGAUAACUUCGGGAAACCGGAGCUAAUACCGGAUAAUAUUUUGAACCGCAUGGUUCAAAAGUGAAAGACGGUCUUGCUGUCACUUAUAGAUGGAUCCGCGCUGCAUUAGCUAGUUGGUAAGGUAACGGCUUACCAAGGCAACGAUGCAUAGCCGACCUGAGAGGGUGAUCGGCCACACUGGAACUGAGACACGGUCCAGACUCCUACGGGAGGCAGCAGUAGGGAAUCUUCCGCAAUGGGCGAAAGCCUGACGGAGCAACGCCGCGUGAGUGAUGAAGGUCUUCGGAUCGUAAAACUCUGUUAUAAGGGAAGAACAUAUGUGUAAGUAACUGUGCACAUCUUGACGGUACCUAAUCAGAAAGCCACGGCUAACUACGUGCCAGCAGCCGCGGUAAUACGUAGGUGGCAAGCGUUAUCCGGAAUUAUUGGGCGUAAAGCGCGCGUAGGCGGUUUUUUAAGUCUGAUGUGAAAGCCCACGGCUCAACCGUGGAGGGUCAUUGGAAACUGGAAAACUUGAGUGCAGAAGAGGAAAGUGGAAUUCCAUGUGUAGCGGUGAAAUGCGCAGAGAUAUGGAGGAACACCAGUGGCGAAGGCGACUUUCUGGUCUGUAACUGACGCUGAUGUGCGAAAGCGUGGGGAUCAAACAGGAUUAGAUACCCUGGUAGUCCACGCCGUAAACGAUGAGUGCUAAGUGUUAGGGGGUUUCCGCCCCUUAGUGCUGCAGCUAACGCAUUAAGCACUCCGCCUGGGGAGUACGACCGCAAGGUUGAAACUCAAAGGAAUUGACGGGGACCCGCACAAGCGGUGGAGCAUGCGGUUUAAUUCGAAGCAACGCGAAGAACCUUACCAAAUCUUGACAUCCUUUGACAACUCUAGAGAUAGAGCUUUCCCCUUCGGGGGACAAAGUGACAGGUGGUACAUGGUUGUCGUCAGCUCGUGUCGUGAGAUGUUGGGUUAAGUCCCGCAACGAGCGCAACCCUUAAGCUUAGUUGCCAUCAUUAAGUUGGGCACUCUAAGUUGACUGCCGGUGACAAACCGGAGGAAGGUGGGGAUGACGUCAAAUCAUCAUGCCCCUUAUGAUUUGGGCUACACACGUGCUACAAUGGACAAUACAAAGGGCAGCGAAACCGCGAGGUCAAGCAAAUCCCAUAAAGUUGUUCUCAGUUCGGAUUGUAGUCUGCAACUCGACUACAUGAAGCUGGAAUCGCUAGUAAUCGUAGAUCAGCAUGCUACGGUGAAUACGUUCCCGGGUCU